UACGGAGGGUGCAAGCGUUGUCCGGAUUUAUUGGGUUUAAAGGGUGCGUAGGCGGCCUAUUAAGUCAGUGGUGAAAGGUAUCAGCUUAACUGAUGACGUGCCAUUGAAACUGAUAGGCUUGAGUACAGACGAGGUAGGCGGAAUUUAUGGUGUAGCGGUGAAAUGCAUAGAUACCAUAAAGAACACCGAUAGCGAAGGCAGCUUACUAGGCUGAGACUGACGCUGAGGCACGAAAGCGUGGGGAGCGAACAGG
RNAcentral lists this ribosomal RNA (253 nucleotides) under uncultured bacterium. RNAcentral's name for it is "partial 16S ribosomal RNA". It matches the Rfam family "Bacterial small subunit ribosomal RNA", at positions 524 to 776 of the family's 1533-position model. The record is from RNAcentral.